CGCUCAGCCUUUUCCCUUUCCCACUCUGCUUUCUCAUCCUCGUGCUCCUCUUCGAUUUCCUCAAAUCUUUCUGUUAGACGAAUACACACGUUGCGGAUCAAGUCUAGUUCGUUAGCGUGUCUAUCAUCAAAUGGUUCAGUUUCAUCAGCCCAAUGAAAGAAACCACAUUGUUGAGAUAUCUCCUUUGGACAGUUGUACAAUAGCCUGAAUGGAUUUUUUUCUGUCUGAGACAUUCGUAGUUUGGCAGGCACUCCACAGUAACAUUCAAGAUUAGAUUCCUCAUAAAUUUCCAAAGACAUUGUUCAAGUAUGGAUCCUAAAAGAGCGUGGUUGGUAAAUUGGAGCAACCGAUUGAAGCAGCAAAG
This 364-nucleotide unclassified non-coding RNA is filed under the name Hevea brasiliensis (rubber tree). The record is from RNAcentral. Lineage: Eukaryota; Viridiplantae; Streptophyta; Magnoliopsida; Malpighiales; Euphorbiaceae.